CUCCCUCCCGCGUCUUCCUCGGGCGGCAGGACCUCUUACCCGCCUUCAGCCUCCCCGGAACUGGGCUCAACUGUCGGAGCAGCAGAGAUCCCCUCUCCAGGAGGAGCGGCUGCUCCCGCUGCCACCGGCUUCAUCUCCCCCUCUUCUGCCCCUGUUGCAUUUGCGACCGCUCCUGGGCCAGGCCCGGCACCCGCUUCCUGGCCAGGUCCUGCUCCUGCCGCCGCCAUCACGGCCACCCCUGGACUUCUCGCGAGAAUACUCUCUUCUCUCGCGCGCGUUGCUGUGUGACGCUGUAGUCUUCAAACAGAAAAAGCCCGCGGUGCGUCCACCGCCUGCCUGAGGAAGCAUAAUUCCACGACCGCUUUAAGGCCAGGCGCGCGGGCAGAGGUGGGCCGGCCUCCCGCGCCGGCGGUGGCCGCGGGCCUGGCAGGCUGAAGGUGGAGGAAGCUAGAUGGUUAGUGCGGCUCUCUGGAGGACUUCCUUUCGAGUCAGGGACUGACGCGGCGUAUUUUCGUGGCUACGACUGGAUAUUCUGCGCAGAAGAGGGUCCUUGAGAGCGCUGGCCGUGCCGUGCCGCCAAACACUCCUCACCACCGAAUGUGGGAAACGUCUUCCUUGGAGUCUAGCACUCCCUGCCCGCCCCGGAUGGAAUUUGGUUUUCUGCGCAGGGUCGCCCCUUGGAGCCCGUUUCCAAAUGAUUUUAAGAGGGAAGGGAAUCUAGGGAGGCCGAUUCCAGGGGCGAGGGUGGAAAACCCAGGCCGGGCAGCCGAGGAGCGGCGUGGGCACUAGAAGCGGCUCGCCGCUUCCUACUGUGAGAGGCGGAAAGCGAAGCCCCGGGGUGUGCCGGGGCACUCGGAAUGUAGACAAGUUUGGUGCCCAGCGAAAGGAAGAGGUGUGGACUGAAAGUACGAACUUGGGAAGUCAUCAACAGUAGCUGGUGGCUGGCAUCAGUGGAGUGAGUUGAGUCUUUCAGAGCCAUGGUCUCCAAACUCGAGAAUGCAAACCUCUGAGAGUGUUGCGGCCAGGAACGUUUUCAGGACACCAGUGUUUAUCCUAUAUCCUAAAAUGUUGCCUAACGAUAAUACACUCUUCUCCCGCUUUACACAAGAACGGCGCACCCCUCGCCAAUCCUCAGUCUAAUCUUACUGUGAUGUGUCCACCGAUAGUGUAGGAAUCUCUGGGCCACUGGACGCCAUGGGAAAUACGUAGAUAUUGAUUUCCCAAUUGGUUCUCAAUUAUUGGUUUUCAACAAAAUUGAAGAAAGACCUAACUGAGUUGCCAGGUUACAUUUUUAAAAUUGAUGAUAAAUACUUAAAUCAGGGGUUGGUACUCCAAAGAGAAGCAGGAUGCUUGAUCUAAGUAUCUCCUCCCAAAUACGUAGUAUUGUAGCAGUUUUAACAUAUGGUCGCAGAAUUUUGUGUUUUCUUGUUGUUGUUUGUUUGAGACAGAGUCUCGCUCUGUCGCCCAGGCUGGAGCGCAGUGGCCCGAUCACGGCUCACUGCAACCUCCACCCCAGGUUCAAGCGAUUCUCCUACCUCAGCCUCCCGAGUAGCUGAGAUUACAGGUAUCUGUCACCACGCCCGGCUAAUUUUUGUUAGUAGAGGCGGGGUUUCACCAUGUUGGCCAGGCUGGUGUCGAUCUCCUGACCUCAAGUGAUCCACCCACCUGGGCCUCCCAAAGUGCUGGGAUUACAGGUGUGAGCCACCGCGCACGGCUUUUUUUUUUUUUUUUUGAAACGGAGUCUCGGUUUGUCGCCCAGGCUGAGUGCAGUAGCGCGAUCUCAGCUCACUGCAACCUCCACCUCGCGGUUUCGGGUUCAAGCGAUUCUCUUGCCUCAGCCUCCCGAGUUGCUGGGAUUACAGGCACGCGCCAUGACGCCUGGCUAAUUUUUGUAUCUUUAGUAGAGACGGGGUUUCACCUGUGUGUUUUUUUUUUUUUUUUCUGA
This 1945-nucleotide long non-coding RNA is filed under the name Homo sapiens (human). RNAcentral's name for it is "non-protein coding lnc-STAR-1:2". Lineage: Eukaryota; Metazoa; Chordata; Mammalia; Primates; Hominidae. The record is from RNAcentral.